CCUACGGGAGGCAGCAGUAGGGAAUCUUCCACAAUGGGCGAAAGCCUGAUGGAGCAACGCCGCGUGGGUGAAGAAGGUCUUCGGAUCGUAAAACCCUGUUGUUCGAGAAGAAAGUGCGUGAGAGUAACUGUUCACGUUUCGACGGUAUCUAACCAGAAAGCCACGGCUAACUACGUGCCAGCAGCCGCGGUAAUACGUAGGUGGCAAGCGUUAUCCGGAUUUAUUGGGCGUAAAGGGAACGCAGGCGGUCUUUUAAGUCUUAUGUGAAAGCCUUCGGCUUAACCGGAGUAGUGCAUUGGAAACUGGGAGACGUGAGUGCAGAAGAGGAGAGUGGAACUCAAUGUGUAGCGGUGAAAUGCGUAGAUAUAUGGAAGAACACCAGUGGCGAAAGCGGCUCUCUGGUCUGUAACUGACGCUGAGGUUCGAAAGCGUGGGUAGCAAACAGGAUUAGAUACCCUUGUAGUC
Molecule: ribosomal RNA, 465 nt
Filed under: uncultured bacterium
Lineage: Bacteria
Description: partial 16S ribosomal RNA
Rfam family: Bacterial small subunit ribosomal RNA
Source: RNAcentral